CAACAUUCAUUGAUAAGGAAAGUAAACUUGAAAGACUUUUUAGAGAGACUCUGAUUGGUGGAAAGAGUUAAGUGUGCAAAGUUGAAAAUGGCCUUGGAGGAUAAUUUGUCGAUACGUAGGCAAAUUCGGUUUCGUUCAACCGUUAAAAAGAACCCCAAUCUCUCUUAGUUGAGACGUUGGAUAGAGGGAAGGAAACUUCCGAAUAAAGGUGGUACCACGAUUUAUCGUCCUUUUA
RNAcentral lists this non-coding RNA (235 nucleotides) under Enterococcus villorum. RNAcentral describes it as "T-box sequence". It matches the Rfam family "T-box leader". Rfam says of the family: Uncharged tRNA acts as the effector for transcription antitermination of genes in the T-box leader family. Lineage: Bacteria; Bacillati; Bacillota; Bacilli; Lactobacillales; Enterococcaceae. The record is from RNAcentral.